CGGACCGGCGCACGGGUGAGUAACGCGUAUGCAACUUACCUAUCAGGAGGGGAUAACCCGGCGAAAGUCGGACUAAUACCGCAUGAAGCAGGGGCCCCGCAUGGGGAUAUUUGCUAAAGAUUCAUCGCUGAUAGAUAGGCAUGCGUUCCAUUAGGCAGUUGGCGGGGUAACGGCCCACCAAACCGACGAUGGAUAGGGGUUCUGAGAGGAAGGUCCCCCACAUUGGUACUGAGACACGGACCAAACUCCUACGGAAGGCAGCAG
Molecule: ribosomal RNA, 264 nt
Filed under: uncultured bacterium
Lineage: Bacteria
Description: partial 16S ribosomal RNA
Rfam family: Bacterial small subunit ribosomal RNA
Source: RNAcentral